This 19-nucleotide small nuclear RNA is filed under the name Arabidopsis thaliana (thale cress). RNAcentral's name for it is "snRNA_14165". The record is from RNAcentral. Lineage: Eukaryota; Viridiplantae; Streptophyta; Magnoliopsida; Brassicales; Brassicaceae.
UAAGUGGCAGAGUGGCCUU